Molecule: long non-coding RNA, 3985 nt
Organism: Thunnus maccoyii (southern bluefin tuna)
Lineage: Eukaryota; Metazoa; Chordata; Actinopteri; Scombriformes; Scombridae
Exons: 8
Source: RefSeq, a predicted model, not a curated record
GGAAGGGAAUGGAGGGGGGAGGGGUAUUCAUCUGGUUGCAAUCUUCAACCUCACCGCUAGAUGCCACUAAAUCCUUCACACUGGCCAACUGUCGGUUACUAGGGCGCCUUAAGAUGGUGUAUUUAAAUUGAUGAUGGCCUGCUCACUUUUCUUCUCACAGUUUAGUUAAUCAAGCUCACCUGAUUAUUAUCCGACCAUUUUGCUUCUGGACAACUUUAUAGAGGAAACAAUCGUGUUUUUGUCGCGCUCAUCACUGCUGCUACCUGUAUUCAUACACUCCUCUCGACGGCCGUUAGCUAGUUUCACUAACUGGCCUCAAACUGCGCAGUUUCAACCGGAAGUGGAGUUUACCUGUCCUGUCUUGCCGCUAGCAGCUUGUGACCACACCGACUCAUCACCAUCAGCCAGAUACAUCUCAGAUGACCAUAGCUUCACUUCACACAGAGCGCUGUUGAGAGUUGCUGGGGCAUUGCCGAAAUCUAUUCCCCUCCUGCUAAGGCUGCUGUUUAGAGGCUCUCAUUAAUAAGAGAGGACUGUAAGGAAACCAGCAUGACGAGGAGGACCGUCUCCCUCCCCCCACAUCCCACCGCAGCACCCGCCGCCCAAUCUGAGAUGCUGUAAGUAGUGACACCCAACUCUGGUCCCACCCAGUUACUGUCUCUUUGUUGAAGGUUGGCACAGUGCUGAGAUGAGGGAGUGAGACGACCUCUGACCUUUCGUUACAAUGUGCUCACAUGCACCAUGUCUGCCAGUGUCUCAGGAGACAACAGGCUGAAUAUCACAUUCCUCAUUGGCCUUCUUCACCAUACUGAACCAAUCCUCCAGAUUCUCAAAGCUCUGGUAGUUGGUGAUGUCGUACACCAGGAGAACGCCCUGCGUUGGAGAAAGACAGAGGAACAAUGUUGACUCUGACGCUCGCUGAACCACCUUUCAUUUACUCAGUGGGAGAGACUGGUUCCCCUUUUUCUCACAAAGGAAAAGAUCAGAACCGGAAACCCCGCCGCCUGCGGUAUGGUUCCGUCCCGUGUGUGACGCGCUGCUGUUGCCAUGGUAACACGGGUCAAAGUGGGAAGGAUGCCGCUCUUCAUGGGGGAUGAGGAGGAAUUUGCACCUGGAGCACUUUGAAGCAGGUGGCAGUCAGUGUCAGGACGCUUAAGAGCAAAGACGAAGACGGCGAUUCUUAUUCGCAGCAGCAGUUUAAAAACGUCUAUUAAUUAUAUAUUUUUGUUAGUUUCACUGAUUUAUUUUGCUGCUGUGAUCAGUUAAGUUUGUGCCAGUUUAUCCUUCAUGUAGGGUGGAGUUUAGACUAUUUAAUCCAUUUAGCAACAAGGAAUUUGGAAGCUGUGGCACCAAAGUAAUGAAUUCACGAUUACUGGAACAUUUCUCCUCUCAUGAUUAAGUAAAUCUAAGAAAACUCGACAUAAAAUGAAUUUGGGUUUUAUUACAGACGUCCAUUUAAAAAAAAAAAAAAAAGUACAGUCCACAGUUAAAAGUGUUUGGUAAAAAGAUCAUUCUUUGAGAGAGAUGCAGUUGAUCUGUUUUACAGUGUUCAUAACGUUACUCCUUGAAGCCCAACAUAACGAUACUUGAGUAAAACAUAUAUCCUAAUAAAUACAUAAAUAUCUGAUCAUACACAAAUAAAUCUUGGCGAGUUGUGGUGCAAAGUAAAUUAAUAGAGAUAAAAAUGUUAAAAUGAUUAAAUACAUGAAAACCGACCCGUGUUCAUGGAUUUAGUCUCGUUUUACAUAUUAGAAAACACGCUGUUUAUAAUCCUAAAAUCUCGUAGGCCUAUAAUAUGUUAUAUUUGUUAUACACACAUUAAAACACCUGUGUGUGAUGUGAAAUUUCAGGGAGAUCUAACAUGGAUUAUUCUCGAUUAAAGCUGCUGAAAAUAAAUUAAAUUCACCUGUCAUCAAUUCUUAAAAUAUUGAAUUUCUCAGAUCAAGUGAAAGUCGUGCUGGCAUUGACGAGAUCGUGUCGCCUGUUUUAUUCUUUUAAAUGUGAAUCUUGUAAUUGGGAAAAUUAUCUCAUUUUUUUUUAAAGACUUUUUAUUUUGUUUGUUUUUUAAAGUAAAUUAAGAGAUUGUCAGGCGAGUUAAAACCAACCUGCCAACCAAAUCUUACACGUAAGGAAAUUAUGACUCAAUAACACUGAUUGUCAUGUGAACAUUUUUUUGCAGUUUAAUUUGGAGAGAAACACAUUUUAUAAUUUGGGGAUAAACUGUCACUUGUUCUGCCACAAAAUGACCCGACAGUACUCGCUUCAUAACCACAUGAUUAUAAAUUACCUUCAUUUCAGUCAAAUCGAGCCUAACAUCGCCUGCAGUUUACUUCCAGCUCUGUAUAACGUGUCAAAUAAUGUCUAUUAAAUGCCAAUUUUCCAUGAUAGUUCUGUCACUUGAUACAGAUCAACACCUGGAGAGUCUCUCUGUAAAUGAAUAUAAUUACUGCUCUGAAUAAAAGUCAAGAGCAAACGGCUGAAUUGUCCUUGACCCACAACACCAUGAAGAUCAAUUUAGGCCAGAGCUCGUUUAAGAAAGAAAAUGUACAUGUGUUAUAAUUUACACGGGAAUAAGAGGAAGAGGAGAAAUCAAAUAAUAAAUAAAUCACAUGGAUUAAAAUGGAGUGUGGCAACGAGGAUGAGUCAGAUUUCUGGUUGAUUAAAAUCAGAUUUCUUUUUUUUUUAUCUCCAAACAGCUUUCAAAAUUCCCAAGGUGUACGUUUUCCUCCUGAGACAGAAAGUAGUUUUAAAGAUUAAAAAUAAGGGUGAGCGCCUUGAUUCUUUGAGAAAUAACAUGGAAAAAAAAUAGGUUACUUGUGCGUAAUUAUCCAUAAAUGCUUGCGUAAAGGAGCUCCCGUGAUUCAUAAAAUCCAAAUGAAUUUCUGUCUCAUUUAGUUUCACAGCAUAAACAGUCACAGCAUAUUAAGCUAUACAAUAAAUAUAUUUCCCACGCAUUAAAGUAAACUAUAUAAAAUAAUAAUAAUAACGGGGAGACGCUGGAAUGGGGCUAAUGUUCACUGAUGGGGGUGUUUGCAUUUCAAUGAUCGCAGGCUGAAAGGAAAAAAAAAAUCCGCGACAUGUCCCUCUAUAUCAGAUAUCUCCACAUGCAGGUAUGAAAGGAAGUUAUGUGGGACGGUCCACUCCUCAGUAUCCCUCUCAGUCCUUCAAGUUCCAGCGCAGCCAAUGAGGAGCAUCACUGCCUGCUGGAGAGGGCCUCGGGUGGCACAUACCUGCAUCAAGGAGAUCAGAUUUUAGGACAAAUAGGCGCCGUUCGUGGGUAGGGGGAUUGUUUUUUACCAUAUAGGGUUAAAAAAAAAAAAAAGAUGGGGCGCUGAUCAACCAAAAGCGUAUUCACCUGGCUGUUUGGGCGUGUACGUGCGUAAAAGCGCAGUGGCAUUGCGCAGUGCUAAAACGGAGACCUUUCCUGUUGUGCCACCAUGAAUGUUUAUCUUUGGUGCUCUCAUUGUUAAUGUGUCCAAUUAUUUAUAUUAUGUUCUGUUGCUAUUAUUUUCCUCUCAUCUCCAUCAGUCUUAUAACUAAAGUAAACAGCACAGAAUACAUUUUUAUUCCUGAUUUACAGCAUCCCACAGGCUGUGUGGGCGUCUGUGAGGGAUGUAGGUGUUUUAUAAGGCCAAAGAAGGAUGGCUGAUGCACUGCAGCUCCCUGCUGACCCCAACUUAACACUUUUACUGGGUGCAGAAUAAUAGCUAAUACAACUCCAGUAAUAGUUCAGUUCCAGUGAUAAUAAGAUACCAAAGACAACCUUAAAGAAUGUUCCUGAAGGAAAACAUUUACAAUGUUUUGUAUCCACCAACAACCCAGAGUGAGGAUCUUUUUUUUUUUUUUUUUCACCCCUCCUUGACUUGAAUUUAGGCGCAGUGACAUGGGCCUCCUUAACCCUGAAAUACUCCUCUCGUUGUGUUGACAUGCAGCCCUAAAGGUAGCUGUCAGUUUGCCCUGUCCUGGAAUCACAGAGCUAUUCAUC